Sebastes umbrosus (honeycomb rockfish) is the source of this 1350-nucleotide long non-coding RNA. RefSeq lists it as uncharacterized. The record is from RefSeq and is a predicted model, not a curated record. The transcript is spliced from 5 exons. Lineage: Eukaryota; Metazoa; Chordata; Actinopteri; Perciformes; Sebastidae.
UAUUAGACUGAUUAGAACCCAGUAACUUUAAAGGCCCUGACGCACCAAGCCGACGGUUUUGUAUCCUAAUUAAAUAACGCAUGUGAUCCGUUACUCCCCAAGCCUGCGCACUAGGUACGCCUCUAGCGUCAGUUUUGGACGUGUCAGGGACGGCGUGUCAAUAUAGACUUGUCAUGACGUGAAUAGUGUCAUUUCAAAAUAAACUUCCAUCUUUACAAGUUAGGUUAAGGCAACAAAACUACUUAGUUCGGGUUAGGAAAAGAUUGUGGUUGACAUUAACAUGACUGACUACCGAUUCACGUGACUAAUUGCGGACAAAGUAAGUCAAUAUCGACUUUUAGUUUCACUCGGGACAUGAACAGCGGUCCCCUGAGUGAAAGUCCUGUAUUUUACCCAUGCAACUCUCCAUGUGGUCUGCUACUACUACUGCUACAUGUGGACUAUCUGUAGUAUUUACUAAGCCUCUUAUACUGGAUGGGGUCACAAGGGGCUGGAGGCUGUUUCAACACCAUAUGCAUGUGGAUCUUCUACUGUUUGAUGCUGCUGAAUCCUCUGAGGUAACCGGGAAGUGUGAUUAAAUCAACUCCAGUACACUGGAGGGCAGGCUGCCGCCAGAGGACCAGGAGUGCCACACGUGUGUCUAGACCAAGUGCGCCUCCUGCAGGGAGGUCAGAGCAGUGUAUCUGGCUGAGGAGGAGGAGGAGGAAGAAGAGGAGGAGGAGGCGUGGGAUGCUGCUCUUCUCUUCAGCUCUCUGGAGAUCUGGAGCCAAGAUAGCGGAUAGCAGCAGCACCCGUACAGGCAGUCGCUCCACACACUCCCCUGUAAGACGCACGGAGAGAGAGAGGCCUGAACACAGGUGGGAGGCUUGAACAAAAGACGCCCUCAUGGCGAGAGAGGCCGGCGAUACGCAGCCGAUACAGUCCAGCAGAGGCAGGCAGGGACAGGCGCCCACUGCACUGGUCACCUUACAGCACUCACACAGGCCAGUACUCCAUUGACCAUUGAACUCCUGAAUCCUGCUCUCCGGCUGGACCUGGACCACCUGUUGAUACAUUGCUGAGCUGGACAUCUAUAAGUCCAUGAAGGAGAGGAAAGGUCCAGUGGAGUGAAUCCCACCCCUAUCAAAUGAAACCGGUCUCCUCUUCCAUCAGGGCUGCAGCUGACACCGAUGAUCAUACGGAGGAUUAACGAAGGUGACAUUCAUGGUGGGUGAGAAUCCACCAAAAAAUACAGAACCUGAUGAUUCACAGUCAAAACUGACAACGACAAUUUAUUUUCUACAGUAUACUGUAUGUAGGAGGAGAUAAAAGAAAGGAGGAAAUCAAGUAAAUUAUAGGGAAUUUAUAAUA